RNAcentral lists this ribosomal RNA (316 nucleotides) under Bacillus cereus ATCC 14579. RNAcentral's name for it is "bacterial SSU rRNA". It matches the Rfam family "Bacterial small subunit ribosomal RNA", at positions 50 to 354 of the family's 1533-position model. Lineage: Bacteria; Bacillati; Bacillota; Bacilli; Caryophanales; Bacillaceae. The record is from RNAcentral.
GGGCGCCUAUACAUGCAGUCGAGCGAAUGGAUUAAGAGUUGCUCUUAUGAAGUUAGCGGCGGACGGGUGAGUAACACGUGGGUAACCUGCCCAUAAGACUGGGAUAACUCCGGGAAACCGGGGCUAAUACCGGAUAACAUUUUGAACCGCAUGGUUCGAAAUUGAAAGGCGGCUUCGGCUGUCACUUAUGGAUGGACCCGCGCCCCAUUAGCUAGUUGGUGAGGUACCCCUCACCAAGGCAACGAUGCGUAGCCAACCUGAAAGGGGAUCGGCCAAAGGGGGAGUGAGACCGGCCCAAAUACUACGGGGGCAGCAG